RNAcentral lists this ribosomal RNA (803 nucleotides) under Gigaspora margarita. RNAcentral's name for it is "bacterial SSU rRNA". It matches the Rfam family "Eukaryotic small subunit ribosomal RNA", at positions 285 to 1116 of the family's 1831-position model. RNAcentral also lists the same sequence under 1 other name. The record is from RNAcentral. Lineage: Eukaryota; Fungi; Glomeromycota; Glomeromycetes; Diversisporales; Gigasporaceae.
CAUAGUACAAGCUGGUUAUUCUCUCAUACAUACAUCUCCGUAUGCAAAUAAGUUGAUUCGAUUCCGGAGAGGGAGCCUGAGAAACGGCUACCACAUCCAAGGAAGGCAGCAGGCGCGCAAAUUACCCAAUCCCAACACGGGGAGGUAGUGACAAUAUGUAACAAUAUACGGCCUUAUACGUCGUAUAAUUGGAAUGAGUACAAUUUAAAUCCCUUAACGAGGAACAAUUGGAGGGCAAGUCUGGUGCCAGCAGCCGCGGUAAUUCCAGCUCCAAUAGCGUAUAUUAAAGUUGUUGCAGUUAAAAAGCUCGUAGUUGGACCUUGGACCUGGACAGGCGGUCCGCCUCACGGCGAGUACUGUCUUGCUGGGUCUUUCCUCUUGGUGAUCUGUUGUUUCGGCAGCAGGGAACCAGGACUUUUACUUUGAAAAAAUUAGAGUGUUCAAAGCAGGCUCGACGCCCGAAUAUAUUAGCAUGGAAUAAUAAAAUAGGACGUGCGGUUCUAUUUUGUUGGUUUUUGGAAUCGCCGUAAUGAUUAAUAGGGACAGUCGGGGGCAUUAGUACUCACAUGCUAGAGGUGAAAUUCUUGGAUUUUGUGAAGGCUAACUUCUGCGAAAGCAUUUGCCAAAGAUGUCUUCAUUAAUCAGGGACAAAUGUGACGCGUAUCGGAACACGAUUAGAUACCGUUUGUAGUCUUAACAGUACACCUAUGGCGACUACGGGAUCGGGUCGAUCUGAUCUUCUUUGACUCCGAUGGGGCAACCACUACUGGGAGGGCCAAAGUGAUUUUGGGAAUACACAACGG